Molecule: ribosomal RNA, 465 nt
Filed under: uncultured bacterium
Lineage: Bacteria
Description: partial 16S ribosomal RNA
Rfam family: Bacterial small subunit ribosomal RNA
Source: RNAcentral
CCUACGGGAGGCAGCAGUAGGGAAUCUUCCACAAUGGGCGCAAGCCUGAUGGAGCAACACCGCGUGAGUGAAGAAGGGUUUCGGCUCGUAAAGCUCUGUUGUUGGAAAAGAACGUGCGUGAGAGUAACUGUUCACGCAGUGACGGUAUCCAACCAGAAAGUCACGGCUAACUACGUGCCAGCAGCCGCGGUAAUACGUAGGUGGCAAGCGUUAUCCGGAUUUAUUGGGCGUACAGCGAGCGCAGGCGGUUGCUUCGGUCUGAUGUGAAAGCCUUCGGCUUAACCGAAGAAGUGCAUCGGAAACCGGGCAACUUGAGUGCAGAAGAGGACAGUGGAAUUCCAGGUGUAGCGGUGGAAUGCGUAGAUAUAUGGAAGAACACCAGUGGCGAAGGCGGCUGUCUGGUCUGCAACUGACGCUGAGGCGCGAAAGCAUGGGUAGCGAACAGGAUUAGAUACCCCGGUAGUC